RNAcentral lists this ribosomal RNA (511 nucleotides) under uncultured bacterium. RNAcentral describes it as "bacterial SSU rRNA". It matches the Rfam family "Bacterial small subunit ribosomal RNA", at positions 28 to 524 of the family's 1533-position model. The record is from RNAcentral.
GAUGAACGCUAGCUACAGGCUUAACACAUGCAGGUCGAGGGGCAGCAUGGUCUUAGCUUGCUAAGGCCGAUGACGACCGGCGCACGGGUGAGUAACACGUGUGCAACCAACCCCGUACCGGGAGAUAACCCGCGGAAACGUAGACUAACAUCCCAUGAUACUCGAGAGCCGCAUGGCUCUAGAUUUAAAAUUCCGGUGGUACGGGACGGGCACGCGCGACAUUAGGUAGUUGGCGGGGUAAGGGCCCACCAAGCCGACGAUGUCUAGGGGUUCUGAGAGGAAGGUCCCCCACACUGGAACUGAGACACGGUCCAGACUCCUACGGGAGGCAGCAGUGAGGAAUAUUGGUCAAUGGGCGAGAGCCUGAACCAGCCAAAGUCGCGUGAGGGACGAAUGGUCUAUGGCCUGUAAAACCUCUUUUUGUCAAGGAAGAAUAAAUCGCACGGGUGCGAUCUUGCCAGUACUUGACGAAUAAGCAAUCGGCUAACUCCGUGCCAGCCGCCGCCGUAAC